This 88-nucleotide transfer RNA is filed under the name Klebsiella phage KP13-7. Its description in RNAcentral is "tRNA-Ser". It matches the Rfam family "tRNA". Rfam says of the family: Transfer RNA (tRNA) molecules are approximately 80 nucleotides in length. Their secondary structure includes four short double-helical elements and three loops (D, anti-codon, and T loops). Lineage: Duplodnaviria; Heunggongvirae; Uroviricota; Caudoviricetes. The record is from RNAcentral.
GGAAGGAUGGCCGAGUGGUUUAAGGCACUGGUCUUGAAAGCCAGCAAUCCGAAAGGGUUCUAGAGUUCAAAUCUCUAUCCUUCCACCA